Caenorhabditis elegans is the source of this 94-nucleotide non-coding RNA. The record is from Ensembl. Lineage: Eukaryota; Metazoa; Nematoda; Chromadorea; Rhabditida; Rhabditidae.
UUUAGGCUUAGGCUUAGGCUUAGGCUUAGUCUUAGGCUUAGGCUUAGGCUUAGGCUUAGGCUUAGGCUUAGGCUUAGGCUUAGGCUUAGGCUUA